Molecule: ribosomal RNA, 449 nt
Filed under: uncultured bacterium
Lineage: Bacteria
Description: partial 16S ribosomal RNA
Rfam family: Bacterial small subunit ribosomal RNA
Source: RNAcentral
AACGAACGCUGGCGGCAUGCCUAACACAUGCAAGUCGAACGAGAUCUUCGGGUCUAGCGGCGCACGGGUGCGUAACGCGUGGGAAUCUGCCCUUUGGUUCGGAAUAACAGUUGGAAACGACUGCUAAUACCGGAUGAUGACGAAAGUCCAAAGAUUUAUCGCCAGAGGAUGAGCCCGUGUAGGAUUUGCUAGUUGGAGGGGUAAAGGCGCACAAAGGCGACGAUCCUUAGCUGGUCUGAGAGGAUGAUCAGCCACACUGGGACUGGGACACGGGCAAGACUCCUACGGGAGGCGGCGGUGGGGAAUAGUGGACGAUGGGCGAGGGCCUGAUCCAGCUGUGCCGGGUGGGUGAUGAGGGCGUUGGGGUUGUAAAACUCUCUUACCGGGGAUGUGAAUGACAGUACCGGGAGAAUAAGCUCCGGCUAACUCCGUGCCAGCAGCCGCCGUAA